UACGGAGGGGGCUAGCGUUGUUCGGAAUUACUGGGCGUAAAGCGCACGUAGGCGGCUUUGUAAGUUAGAGGUGAAAGCCCGGAGCUCAACUCCGGAAUUGCCUUUAAGACUGCAUCGCUAGAAUUGUGGAGAGGUAAGUGGAAUUCCGAGUGUAGAGGUGAAAUUCGUAGAUAUUCGGAAGAACACCAGUGGCGAAGGCGACUUACUGGACACAUAUUGACGCUGAGGUGCGAAAGCGUGGGGAGCAAACAGG
RNAcentral lists this ribosomal RNA (253 nucleotides) under uncultured bacterium. Its description in RNAcentral is "partial 16S ribosomal RNA". It matches the Rfam family "Bacterial small subunit ribosomal RNA", at positions 524 to 776 of the family's 1533-position model. The record is from RNAcentral.